UAACGCGUGGGAAUCUGCCCUGGAGUGGGGGAUAACCGAGAGAAAUUUCGGCUAAUACCGCAUACGACCUGAGGGUGAAAGAUUUAUCGCUCUUGGAGGGGCCCGCGUCGGAUUAGCUAGUUGGUGGGGUAAUGGCCUACCAAGGCAACGAUCCGUAGCUGGUCUGAGAGGAUGAUCAGCCACACUGGGACUGAGACACGGCCCAGACUCCUACGGGAGGCAGCAGUGGGGAAUAUUGGACAAUGGGGGCAACCCUGAUCCAGCAAUGCCGCGUAUCUGAUGAAGGCCUUAGGGUUGU
This 298-nucleotide ribosomal RNA is filed under the name uncultured Sphingomonadaceae bacterium. RNAcentral describes it as "partial 16S ribosomal RNA". It matches the Rfam family "Bacterial small subunit ribosomal RNA", at positions 111 to 426 of the family's 1533-position model. The record is from RNAcentral. Lineage: Bacteria; Pseudomonadati; Pseudomonadota; Alphaproteobacteria; Sphingomonadales; Sphingomonadaceae.